UAGGGAAUCUUCCGCAAUGGACGAAAGUCUGACGGAGCAACGCCGCGUGAGUGAAGAAGGAUUUCGGUUCGUAAAACUCUGUUGUUAGGGAAGAAAAAAUGUAUAGUAACUAUAUACAAAAGAGACGGUACCUAACCAGAAAGCCACGGCUAACUACGUGCCAGCAGCCGCGGUAAUACGUAGGUGGCAAGCGUUGUCCGGAAUUAUUGGGCGUAAAGCGCGCGCAGGUGGUUUAGAAAGUCUGAUGUGAAAGCCCCCGGCUCAACCGUGGAGGGUCAUUGGAAACUAAUAAACUUGAGUGCAGGAGAGAAAAGUGGAAUUCCUAGUGUAGCGGUGAAAUGCGUAGAGAUUAGGAGGAACACCGGUGGCGAAAGCGGCUUUUUGGCCUGCAACUGACACUGAGGAGCGAAAGCGUGGGGAGCAAACAGG
This 429-nucleotide ribosomal RNA is filed under the name Verrucomicrobiota bacterium. RNAcentral's name for it is "Verrucomicrobia bacterium partial 16S ribosomal RNA". It matches the Rfam family "Bacterial small subunit ribosomal RNA", at positions 355 to 776 of the family's 1533-position model. The record is from RNAcentral. Lineage: Bacteria; Pseudomonadati; Verrucomicrobiota.